Molecule: long non-coding RNA, 654 nt
Organism: Cyprinodon variegatus (sheepshead minnow)
Lineage: Eukaryota; Metazoa; Chordata; Actinopteri; Cyprinodontiformes; Cyprinodontidae
Exons: 2
Source: RefSeq, a predicted model, not a curated record
UAAAAGGUCUUCAAAUGCCUUAAUAUAGUGAUUUAAAAAUAAUUCUCAGUAAAUAAUUAGAGAUAGAAUCCAAUGCACUUUACAUAGAACUGUUAUUUCAUUUUGCUGCUUUUUGUUGAUUAUGUUAUAAAUUAGAUUCAUAUCUGUUCAUUUUGUUUAAUAUAUUUUUUUAAACAAUAUUUACGUCAAGGCUAAAGCCUUCACUCACAUAGUGAGAUUUAUGGUCAUCAGAUAGGAUAUCAGCCAAUAUGCUUAGCUCAUUGGAUCUCUACAAAAUCCUGCUUUAUUUAUAAAGAGUUUGGAUCUUUUGUGUUGCAACACAAUCUUUUCUAUUUUAAUCUCUCUAAGUUGUUCCCCUUAGUCCCCAUAGUAUGCUAAAUGCAGCUGUAUCAGAGAGUAAUGCGUUAAACACAAACCUUUAGAAUUCAACAUGAUGUUUUAUGUGCAAUUGCCAUUACUUAUUUUAUUUCCUUUUAAAUAUACAUUAACAGUUACUACCCCUCAAAUUUAUUAUCCCCAGCUCUUUCAAUUUUAACAUUAUAAGUCUUUAGCUUUGUUUUUUUUCUUUUUGCUUUCCAAAUACCAUACAUUUUGUAUAAUAAUCUUGUAUUAGAGGACAAAAAAACUUUAGUAAAAUAAAAAAAAAAAAAAAAA